CAAUUAUCCGUAGCACGAUAUCGUAACGUAAAUUGGAUUGAAGUUGUAAUCAAUUCUCAAUCGAGUCGCCGAAUGAUUAAGAGGCGCUCUCGAACACUCGGGAUUUUAAUGCAGUCCGAGUAUCCCAUUUUUAUCACUUUCGCUUGACGACAAGUGCGUCUCGCAAUACACGCGUGCACGUCCGAAGACUGAAAACCGCCGACUUGGUAAUGCACAACGUUCCACACUGACGUGUACUGACGUUUACGCAAAUAACGCGAUAAAGCCGUGUCUAUCGCGAAUUUAACGGCUCUCGCGGCGGGAUCCCGUUUACUUAACUCUAUCAACGAGUACAUCUCGCGGAUGCAAAAACGCGAUAAAACCGGCGGUAGAGACCACACGGCGCUGCCUACAAAGUAGACCCAAUGUUUUACAGCAACACGCGGCCACAGCCUCGGCUGUUCGGGCUACACUGAAAGAUAAUUGUCAGCUAUCAGCUGACCCUUGUCGUCCGCAGUCCCGCCGCUGACGCCUCUCUCUCGUCGAUGCAACGAUGCAUCCUCCUGCGCACACAAGCUCGGCCGGCCGUCAUCGCGCCGGACGCACAAAAGGUACUUCGUCGGCUAUCGUUUGCACGAUAAUCUCAACGCGUGGAACUCGACAGAUACGUGGCGUUACAUGUGGCAUUAAUAACGUUCCCUGUCUAGCCAAUAAUGUACACGACGCAGCCGGUCGCGUCGUCGAUGCACUCCGACGCAGCUGACAAUUCGCUCGUAUUUUGUGCCCCACCAUUGUUUCAUUGCAUGAGCGGUUUUCAGAGAUGGAUCACUCUCGGCGAUUCUUCAAUCAGAAGGUCCUCGUUAGAUUAUUAGGAAAGAAAAAAUGUGGGGCUAUUUUUGGAUGGACCACGUUCCGAGAUGUGUGUCACUGGGGAGAUAUUCCGCUCGCAGAAAUUGAUCAGAGAUUGGAUUAAGAUAAUUAGUCGUACACACGAGCGACACUCUCAAUCCCGUUAAUGCGUCGCGUUCUCAGAAGCCAUUAAAACGACGCAUCAAUAUAACGAUCAAUUAAACGCGGCCGCGUCCACCACAAUCGCGGUGCAGCGAAAUGGUUAAUUAUCAUAUCAAUUAUCGAAAGAGCCAUAGCGGCGGGGAGGGAGAAGAGACCACUGGCUCGUUAAUGCCAGUACUGUCAGUGCAACGUGCUACAAUGUCCGAUAAAAGCGCGCUCAAUACCAACAAUAAUGCGGACACACGUAUUUACGGUUCCGCAGUGGUGCACCGUGGCGUUUUCGGUAAUGCCGGCCCAUGUAUCGUCCCGGCUCGGUUUUCUCGUCGGCGAACAAGAACCGGGCAGAUAAAAAGAAAGAGAACGUUUCUCUAUCUGACGUGAAGAAGCCCAAGUAGCUACCCAACUUUCCGCGGCAGAAGUGGUGCGGAGAGACAGCAAAAACGGAUUCUAUCCACCGGCGUUUCAAUUUUCGCUACCAUCGUACUGUGAAAAUAGUUUAUCCUGGAAAUGAACGAGAUGAGUCGUUGAUUUAACAAAAUUGUCUUAACGUCCCGGAAUUAAUUUGACUCCGCGUGUAGCGUGCCGCACGAGAAAAAAAGAAAAAACACACCAAAGUGCGUUCGACUUUAAUUGUGUCUCAACUUCGUUCAAAAUUUAUGCAUUAUAGAUAUUCACACGAUUAGUAGAAAAUUUUACGAGGAAGUGUAUAAGAUUCGUUCGUUUUCGUCCGCUAAACUAUUUUCGCUUAGACCGACAUUUAAUCUCAGGGCCAUUGUUCAAUCUUCGUUGCGUCAUGUUGCGUUACUCGACGCAAGACUGAACAUAUCGUACAUAUUAAAUUUCUAUUUGUUCUUGGAAGAAGUAUCGAGACUUUUCUCGCGACAAGUACGGUAUCGUGGAUAUUGUCGGUGCCGAUGGCGGAAACGUUGCCUCCAACCCUGCAGCGCUGUUAUAUCUAUCUACUCCACUAGCCACCUCGUCGACUUUCCGCUCGCAAGAACACACCAUUCUCCGCGAUCUGCUGAAGUAUCGUAAAUUCGAUCCGAGGUAAACGAUGCCAAUGGGAGCAGUCGAUAUUGUGUCGCGCGCGUUAUGCAGAUACCGAUGUAGAAACGAGGACGAGGAGGGCGAAGGAGAACUAAAUUCCGUUUCUUGCUGCGCAAGGGUGCAUCGUGUCGCUGCUAAUUGGCUGGUGGAAAAUGGCGAGUAGACAGCCUGUGAACAAAGUUUUCCCUAUCGGCCGACGGCUCGAUUAAAGCUUCUUCUUCACGUGAAUUCGUUAUCGAACUCAAAUACUGUAAUACCGAGACGGACAAACGCAACUACUUUUAGCGACAUAAAAACACGAAGAUAAAGAGCACCGUGUAUUCAAUAUUUUUGUAUCCUUAUGAGAAGAAUCAGAAUUCCAUACAUUUCCUCCUUGUAACUUUUAUUUUUUCCGCCCCCCAAGUGACAGAGAUUAAAUCAUAAAAAAAGAACGAUAAACAGACGGCGGAUUUCGAGACGGUGGAGCAUUUCGCGGUAAUAAAACAAAAAUUGUCCUUACCGGUUGGUUAAAAAUGUAGAAACGAGGAGACGUAGUGCGAGAGGGGUAGCACACCCGCGUGGCGCGACUCGAAGCGGCGAGAGGGCAGGGUAGAUGAGAGAGGCGGUAUUGUCUCGGCGAUUAUUUAUGGCGGAUUUUAAGCCCCUAAGUGUGGCCGCUGUAAUAAUUAACAAAAGGCAUUAUGCCGCGCACGGAGAAUGAACCGCCCACAUCCGCCCUCCUACUCGCUCGCGUUUAAGGGUGCGAAGGUGCGCGCAACUCGCGCGCUCCGCUCGUCCGUUCGCCAGGAGAGAUAACACCUGAGACCAACGCCGCUCGAUUGCCCGGGGCUCAUUUACUAAUGAGCACGGCCCUAUAACGUCCGCGAGAAUAAUGUGACUUCUUUCCCGGCUGCAGCCGGGUGUACAACGACGCGCGCGAUUUACGGACGCGAUCCGUUCCUCGAAAAAGCUGAGGAAAAUGCACUAACGCGCACGCUGGCGAACCAAACGAGCGUAUGGAGUCACCUGUUUCGAAGAUAUCGUUCUACCAAUGGCUUUGGAUUUUAUUUUGCCUUCCUGAAGCCUCCCUAUCGAGGACGAAGAAGAAUGAAGACGUUCGUGAUGAAUUGUUAUUGGAGUGUGUCGGGUGUAAGUAUUGGCAAAUCGCAAGCUGGUAAGUCGAAUGGUAAAUGUAAUCUAGCAUUUUAAUUGGGACUGCUAUCUGACUUUAGUCUGCCUCAACGCGAGGCAUUGUUACCACAUUGCACGUGAUUACUAAUUGAUAACAAAAAUAAAAGUUUAAUUAGAUCAUUAGCGGUUAUUGAAAUUGCAGCACGAUAAACAAAAUUGCAAAACGACGGACGCUGGCUUGUUGAAUUAAAAUUAAACGGACAGCACAAAGGACCGUCAAAAAUAAUUAGAUGAAAAUCAGAUAGGAACUUUGCAUGGCUCGUUGGUGCCCGGGUAUUCGGGUAUUCGUGUAACGGUUGUAUCUCGGCCGGAACAUCCCCUGAAUCGCUCCACCAUUACCGUCACUACCACCACUAUCAACAUCACCCCAUUUCGAGUUUGCUCCCUCAUCGUUGUUCGACUCGUCAUGAGAGAGGAACGUAAGCCGGAUGAGUCAGGGGUGUAUACCGCACAAGGUAUUCACUCACCCUCUUUCUCUUUCUGUCUCACGUUCCCUUGCCCUUUCUCUCUCUCUCUCUCUCUCUCCCUCUUCUUUUUUCGUAUAAUCUUUCUCGACGUCGAGCAGACAUGCACGGCGCUCGUAAAGUUCCGAGGGAGCACUCGACGACAAAAGGCCGGGUCCGGGUGUUUCGGAGGACGGACGUGUGUGAGAAUUAAGAGUGUGCGGCGGAUGACGGAAACGCGGCACGUGAUACGCGAUAAGCGCGGAUAAAUUUCCGCGGCGUCACUCUUCGUGGGAGAUUCCGCAAACGCAUAGCUCGUGCGAGCUGGUGCAAAUAUUGGCCGAUGAAUUACCGGCAAAUAUGUAGCAGCCAGCAGAAGGAAUCGAUAAUGUAAUUAGGGCUGUUGAUAGGACUUUAAUGAAUCGCCGGAUUCUAAAAUGGAAGCUUGAUGAAAGUCACAUCCGGAAACACGAGAAUUUUUUUUUCGCUUUUAAAAGCGUACUAUGGCAAAAGAAGAUGAGUCCAUCUUUUGAUUCAGGCAUGACAUCUCGCACAAGCAUCUCGGAGAGUGCACGCGAGUUCCCUUCAAUCGAGAUAAUACCGUGCACAUCGUAUAGCACGCGCACGUCAAUUAAUAUCACUUUACAUUAGAUAACGUCUGGUAAGUAAUCUCGAUCUAACGACCGCUCCAACUCCGUCAUAGCUAUUGGCCGUUGGUGACAGCCAUUGGAGAACGAUGAACCCGAGCAGCGUGACUUACUCUCGAUAAAGAUACUCAGCAAGUAACAACUUGAACGCGCGACACUGUCGAUUUUUCUUAUCGACAAUAAACGAUAAGCCUGCUGCGCGAUUAUCUUGACAAAGAGUGAAGAGACGCUUCCGCGAUUACGCAAUUUGUAUCUUCCUCCUUCUCCACCCCCCGCUUUCUCCUUUCCCUCCCAGCCUCCCUCGGUACAUCGCGAAUAGGGCCAGGGCAGACGUAUAGGGACUUAAUGGUUGAAAUUUAGAGCGGUUUAAGUGGCAUAUGGUGGCAUUUUAAUUGACAGUCUGGUUAGGUCAUCGCGGCCUGAAUCGUCGUAACACAUGGACGAACGGAUGGACGAGCAGACGAGAGCAGGGGGACUGGUGAGGAGGAGGAGGAGGAAGAGGAGGAGAGGCUAAGCACCACGUGGGGAACACUUCAUGAGAACCGGAGCGCACCAGGGCCGUGCAAGUCGUAUAGAAAAAAACGUCCCUGUCACCGUGCCCUCUUUACUCACUCCAAGUCCGGCCUCCGAUUCAGUAUUCUCAGUCUAAACUGCGAAUGCGAAACCGAAUUAUACGCAGACCUCGCAAAAUUCCUCCCGCCAGUUCGGCUCGCGCGAAUUUGGAAAAGAAGACGUAAUUUGUUGGUAACGUCAAGUUUCACGAAAGUAUUUAUUCAAACAGAUUAUUUAUCAAUUUAUUUACAGAUAUUAUUUUCGAACUAAUUGUCUUUUACGGUGUCAGUACAGUGAAACCUGCGAAACGCGACCGUCGAGAGGGAAAUUCACGCAGAGUCGAGCGCGCGUUUCCUUGUUAUAAAUAAUAUUAUAUCAGCGUGUUCUUUGCUCUCUGCUAAUUAAUGCGCAGUAAUAUCACUCACCGGCUACACCCGUGCACGCCCAGAAAUUCGGCAGAUAGUCCGGGCGAUCCGCUCGCAGAGCCGGGCACUCGCGUAUUCGAUCGCGAGACGCUGGCGUCACGGCUUAUCUGUCGUCACGUAGAUACUUAUAUCACGGUUUAUCUCGGCGAUGGAAGAGAGAAAGAGAAAGAAUGAUCCCCGUCACGCGAUAAGAAACGAACGGAUGCACGGGCUGAGUGCAACUGAAUGGAGCUGCGGCUCGGUUUUCAUGACGCUCUUCGGGCAUCGGAGCCGCCCGAACGCGGUCGGCGACGGACGAGAACGAAAACGAACGAAACGCGGAGAUCUGAGCGUUAUACGCGGACGUGCUCUUCUUGGCGCAUGUUCAUCUUGCGGAGCGGACAGCCUCCAAAUUUGAUCGUGUGCUAAUCGGCAGUUAUAAGAAAGAGAGAGGGGGAGAGGAAGAAUCAGACGAACAAAGAAGAGCAAAGCUUUCUCUAGGUUGAGAGGAGCGAAGAAGAAAAGAAGUUGAAAUGGGAAACCAGGACAACGUGGCGCGCGUCAGGAUCGCAGGCGGAUACGAAGAAAUCCUCGGAAAGUGUCGACUGAAAGAGUGGCUGUUUUAGAAACGCCACGAAGUGCCAGGAGUCGUCGACAUGGCACAAUGAGAGAGAAAGAGAUCCUCAGACGACAGACAAUUUCGCUGCCGAGUUUACGGAAUCCGGCAAAGAAUCCGCUGCACUGCACCGAUCAAAUGUACAAGCGUGAUCGAGUUCAUCACAACUUCUCCAAGAAACUAUGGAAUCAUCUGACAAAGAAGAUUGAUGGUAAGAAUUCCUCGAAACUACUACAACUUAUUUUCAUUGAUCUGACCUUUACCUGAGAUGUAAAGUGCACGUUAUAUUCCACAUGAGGAAUUAUUUUAUUUCAAGAUUUGUCACUUGAAUUUAAAAAAAUAAAAAAACCAUUUAUAUUG
Molecule: RNA transcript, 6229 nt
Organism: Ooceraea biroi (clonal raider ant)
Lineage: Eukaryota; Metazoa; Arthropoda; Insecta; Hymenoptera; Formicidae
Source: RefSeq, a predicted model, not a curated record